Molecule: microRNA, 23 nt
Organism: Caenorhabditis elegans
Lineage: Eukaryota; Metazoa; Nematoda; Chromadorea; Rhabditida; Rhabditidae
Source: Ensembl
GUAUUAGUUGUGCGACCAGGAGA